CCUACGGGAGGCUGCAGUGGGGAAUAUUGCACAAUGGGCGCAAGCCUGAUGCAGCCAUGCCGCGUGUGUGAAGAAGGCCUUCGGGUUGUAAAGCACUUUCAGCGGGGAGGAAGGCGUUAAGGUUAAUAACCUUGGCGAUUGACGUUACCCGCAGAAGAAGCACCGGCUAACUCCGUGCCAGCAGCCGCGGUAAUACGGAGGGUGCAAGCGUUAAUCGGAAUUACUGGGCGUAAAGCGCACGCAGGCGGUCUGUCAAGUCGGAUGUGAAAUCCCCGGGCUCAACCUGGGAACUGCAUUCGAAACUGGCAGGCUAGAGUCUUGUAGAGGGGGGUAGAAUUCCAGGUGUAGCGGUGAAAUGCCUAGAGAUCUGGAGGAAUACCGGUGGCGAAGGCGGCCCCCUGGACAAAGACUGACGCUCAGGUGCGAAAGCGUGGGGAGCAAACAGGAUUAGAUACCCCAGUAGUC
RNAcentral lists this ribosomal RNA (465 nucleotides) under uncultured Klebsiella sp. RNAcentral's name for it is "bacterial SSU rRNA". It matches the Rfam family "Bacterial small subunit ribosomal RNA", at positions 338 to 795 of the family's 1533-position model. The record is from RNAcentral. Lineage: Bacteria; Pseudomonadati; Pseudomonadota; Gammaproteobacteria; Enterobacterales; Enterobacteriaceae.